CUGGCAUCUUUUUUGAUCAUUGCACCAUCAUCCAAUGCAUUGGGAUAACCAUGACAUGAUAUUUUCCAUCACUGAGCCCAUAACUGUCCCAUGAGAGGGAUAACAACUCUAUGUUAAAUUCAUGAUAGAAUUUUAUCCAGGGAUCUUGGGAAGUGGGAACAAGUGACAGACUAACUGCAAAACUUCAAACCAUGUGACCUGAACAGAAAAUUAAUAUUUCUCUGAGCAGGCUAUGUGUCUAUCGACAUCUUACUGUCUUCUGUGGAUGCUCUCAUCUGUUCAGCCCAAUCAUGCAGACUUUCUACUGCCUCGACCAAUCAAGACCAAAUAUCAAAUUGCAGAUACCAAUUCAUGAUCAUUUUGCACAAGACUGUGAAGACUUGCCAUUUUUCAGAUGCUCUCAACUGACAAUGUUGUUCAAUAUUUUCUCUGCCGUUUAGAAGGUUGACCCUCUAGACAAUAAUUUGAUGAAGAAAACAAUCUAAACCUUGCCUUGUCUUCAUUUAAUGGAAUGACUUGACUCAAGUCAGCUGUGUAUCUUGCAAUGCUCAUUAAUGAGAAGCCACUUUAUCAAGAUAAUGAAGUCAAAAUCACUCUGAGGAACAGAACAAUUUUUAAUAAAAACAGUUUCAUGGAGUCUGCCUAUCUUGUUCAUCUGACUCUCUUCCUAUGCAAUCUGGGCAUUCUCUCUUUUUCAGCAAAAAUUUUUCCACAUCGGAAUUAUUCAGGGACUGAGACAAUUCUUAUAAACAAAUAAGUCUGAACAGGGGAAAUUCUCUACCAUUCUCAUCCAAUGUUGUAGACACUUUUACCUGCAGGGAAGAACUUUGAGAUCUCUUUGCAGACAGAAUGAUUUAGGUUGCAAAUGUUUAAUUGGCAUUUUUAAUCUCAAGGUCAGAAAAAUUACUGUUGUUCAUCAGAUUUGGAGACCUUCCUGAAGGGAUCCAAUCUCAUCCUUGUUUCAUUGCUAACUGAAAAUCCUUCCAUAUUUUUCAUUUUUUUUCUAGCUUCUUAUUCACCAUAAUAUCAUGUGGACCUUCUGUCCCACCCAUUCCAAAAUACUUGCAAUUUUUCUUAAAUAACUCAACCCAUUAUAUGUCUUUCUAUUCCUUUUUGAUAUUUGCUAAAAUUUGAUCCUCUCCCAUUCCUACCUGUCUACACUCCUGAGUCUCAGAUAAAAAAUCUCUUCUUUGCCCAUCCCAAUCCCUCACUUCCUCUGAUUUUAACAGACCCACAUUCACCCCUUCUGCUGUGCUCCUAUGUCACUCUGUCAUGGCAUUGCUUCUUUCGGUAAGAAGAGUGUCUUCCCAUCUUCUUGCUCUGUCCCCCAUCACAUGUAGAUUGUGGAUUCCUAGAGAGCAGGGCAUGUCUCUUGUCUAUUUUUAUCAUCCCCAAAACUUAGUACAGUGUCUGGCACAUCCCGGCAGGUGCUCAAUAAAUGACUGCUGUAAAUAUUAACACCUGGUUUACCUAGCCCAAUUUUUAGUUCUGGUUUCUAAUUUGAUACCAAAAAAAUGUAAUAGAGGCGUUUAAUAUUAAAAUCUAGAAAAGAAGGACAAAAUGACAGCAACAUAAACCCACGGAGGAAAAAUAAAUAGGAAUAUGUACAGGCAAAGACCAUUGUGCCUACUUCUGUUUAUUAGGCAUGAAAGCAUUUAGUCUGGGAAAUUUUAACUGUGUUCCUAUGAAAUCAUGAUUGUUGAUAAAUCAUUUCCAUCUUAUGAGAGUCUAAGAAUAUUUUUUUUUGUAGUAUCCAAUGCCAUCAUGGCUUCAGGUAUUUCCACCUAAAUGGAAUAAGAUAACUAUUGACUUUUCCCCACUUAUUCAAAGUGAUCAUUGCCGGUGGCUGCUUUUCAAUCUAGAUUUUGAUCAAUCUAUUGGGUAGAAAUGCAUACUCACUUUAGAAAGUUAGAAAAACAUAAAAUAAAUGGGAAAACUUGUACUGAGU
This 1948-nucleotide long non-coding RNA is filed under the name Marmota monax (woodchuck). The record is from RNAcentral. Lineage: Eukaryota; Metazoa; Chordata; Mammalia; Rodentia; Sciuridae.